GAUCCUGGCUCAGAAUCAACGCUGGCGGCGUGCCUCAGACAUGCAAGUCGAACGCGAAAGUCCCCUUCGGGGGGCGAGUAGAGUGGCGCACGGGUGAGUAACACGUAGGUAAUUUGCCUUCGGGUGGGGAAUAACAGCCGGAAACGGCUGCUAAUACCGCAUAAUGCAGCGGCUCGACAUCGAGACAGUUGUUAAAGCGGGGGAUUCGCAAGAACCUCGCGCCUGAAGAGAAGCCUGCGGCAGAUUAGCUAGUUGGUAAGGUAAUGGCUUACCAAGGCGACGAUCUGUAACCGGCCUGAGAGGGCGGUCGGUCACACUGACACUGACAUACGGGUCAGACUCCUACGGGAGGCAGCAGUCGGGAAUUUUGGGCAAUGGGCGAAAGCCUGACCCAGCAACGCCGCGUGAAGGAUGAAAUCCCUCGGGAUGUAAACUUCGCAAGAAUGGGAAGAAUAAGUGGGGGACAAUACCCCCCAUGAUGACGGUACCAUUUGUAAGCUCCGGCUAACUCCGUGCCAGCAGCCGCGGUAAUACGGGGGGAGCAAGCGUUGUUCGGAUUUACUGGGCGUAAAGGGCGCGUAGGCGGUCGUGACAAGUCACUUGUGAAAUCUCCGGGCUUAACUCGGAACGGUCAAGUGAUACUGUCGGACUAGAGUACAGAAGGGGCAACUGGAAUUCUCGGUGUAGCGG
RNAcentral lists this ribosomal RNA (690 nucleotides) under uncultured Acidobacteriota bacterium. RNAcentral describes it as "bacterial SSU rRNA". It matches the Rfam family "Bacterial small subunit ribosomal RNA", at positions 15 to 681 of the family's 1533-position model. The record is from RNAcentral. Lineage: Bacteria; Pseudomonadati; Acidobacteriota.